GAUCUUCACCACAUGCUCCGCAUUCCCAUCAUUCAAAGGGAUCGAAACCAGAUCUUCGAUUGGGCUGCCCCUUUCCUCAGUGAGAUCGUCGUGGGCGUCCAGCCCAUCAACCGAACAGAGGUCAGAUUGGUCACUUCUUUGCAAGGUUAUGUUGUAGCAGCGUCUGGCCAGGGCCUGGUCUCCCCUGACUUCUCUGACCCCC
This 202-nucleotide long non-coding RNA is filed under the name Elaeis guineensis (African oil palm). Its description in RNAcentral is "long non-coding RNA (EGUI_LNC067322)". The record is from RNAcentral. Lineage: Eukaryota; Viridiplantae; Streptophyta; Magnoliopsida; Arecales; Arecaceae.